RNAcentral lists this transfer RNA (68 nucleotides) under uncultured Flexilinea sp. It matches the Rfam family "tRNA". Rfam says of the family: Transfer RNA (tRNA) molecules are approximately 80 nucleotides in length. Their secondary structure includes four short double-helical elements and three loops (D, anti-codon, and T loops). Further hydrogen bonds mediate the characteristic L-shaped molecular structure. tRNAs have two regions of fundamental functional importance: the anti-codon, which is responsible for specific mRNA codon recognition, and the 3' end, to which the tRNAs corresponding amino acid is attached (by aminoacyl-tRNA synthetases). tRNAs cope with the degeneracy of the genetic code in two manners: having more than one tRNA (with a specific anti-codon) for a particular amino acid; and 'wobble' base-pairing, i.e. permitting non-standard base-pairing at the 3rd anti-codon position. Lineage: Bacteria; Bacillati; Chloroflexota; Anaerolineae; Anaerolineales; Anaerolineaceae. The record is from RNAcentral.
GCGACGUGGCCAAGUGGUAAGGCGCGGGUCUGCAAAACCCUUAUCACCGGUUCAAAUCCGGUCGUCGC